Clupea harengus (Atlantic herring) is the source of this 2491-nucleotide long non-coding RNA. The record is from Ensembl. Lineage: Eukaryota; Metazoa; Chordata; Actinopteri; Clupeiformes; Clupeidae.
UAUCUGUUGAUUUAUGUAUUUUUUUUAUUUUUGAUCUUUGUUUUAACUAUUGUUUUACCUCUGCUCGACUGUAGUGUCAUUCAGGAUAGCAGGUGAUGUUAUAGUUAUAGUGAAAGUGCAGUUAAGGUUAAGCGAUAAAAACAUUAGAUGAAAACAGUCAAAACAAUGACGUGUAUGUGUGGUGUGUGUUUCUGAUGCUGUACUGACGGGGGGAAUUAAUGGUGACCCGUGAAACCUAUAUACUAAAUGGGGACUAGUCAAGAUGGUGGGCAGGUUGGAGUAGGUUGUUUUGGGUUGUUCAGUCUUGCACAGCCAGGUGUAUAUUAACCUAUCCGUCUGGAGACAACUGUGGUGACAUGGGGACUACAUGUGGGAGCAUUAAUAGCAUUUCAACCUUUUGAGCCAACCCAAACAUUACCUGAAGGCUGGGCUCAAAGGAGAGUGAAAGUCCGGCUAGAAGCAGAGGGCAGUAUGGAAGUUAGUGCCCGUGGUGGCUUGGGAUUCUCGUAGCACUGAAACGGCAACCUCAUUCAUCCUUCUGGACGUGACGUAAAAGUUAGUGUGUGUGUGUGUGUGUGUGUGUGUGUGUGUGUGUGUGUGUGUGUGCCGGCAGACGUGUGAGACUGUAGGAUGCUAAAAGCCUGGCUAAAAGUAGAGGGCAGUAUGGAAGAUAUUACUCAUAAAGCCGAUGGGAUCGUCUCCAGGCUGUGAAACCUCCUUGCGGUAGUGCCAAAGGCAUGUAUGGAUUGGCAGGAUUACAUGGUGAUUGACAGCCGAGGUUUACCAAUUUACGGCUUAUGCGUUUAUAGGGUUAAGAUCUUUGAGUGCUGAGAUUGUCUGCUACGCCAAUCCCUCGUCACAGAACCAGCUUUUUGGGGAGGAUUACGGGGUUCUUAGAUUGACCUGAAUGAGAACCUCUCAGAGAGUCUAAGGAACACUCUUGGAAGGAGGAGCCCUUUUCGGAAGUCUUUUGGGACACCAGCUAAAGUCCUGUGUGGAAUCUUGGCCCUCUGAAGAACCUUGGGCUGGCUUUAAAAAAUGCUCUACCGGUUGUAAACAGAGCAGGGAAAGACAUUUCUAUGUGGAUAAAAAAAACAGCCGAAAAAAAGAAAAUGGAUGAAUGGAUGGAUGGAUAGAUGGUUGAAUGAAUGAAUGAAUGAAUGAAUAAAAGAAUGAAUGGUUUUGCCCAGUCUCAGGCACACUGUGUGAACACACUCAAGAAUAGGAGCAGCAUCUGGAACAGCUUGGCCGUAUGCCAGUGAUGGCAAGUGUGACGCUUGGGAUUCUCGUGGCUGUGAGAUAAUGGAACCACAAACUCAUUCAUCCUUCUGGACGUGCAUGCAGCCGUGUCUGUGUGUGUGUGUGUGUGUGUGUGUGUGUGUGUGUGUGUGUGUGUGUGUAUAUGCGUGCAGGCGUGUUUUUGUGCGCGUGUGUGUGUGUGUGUGUGUGUGCAUGCAGGCAUGGGUGUGUGUGUGUGUGUGAUUGCAACCCUCUGGCCAUGGUGGUGUACAGUAAGCCACUUGAUCCAGCGAUGUAACAACUAUGCUCUUGAUCUGCAAAUCGUCUUUCCACCAGCAAACACCGCUCCAUUUUGGCUAUGUCUCGAGAACUCUCAGGAAUGUCUUUGGUCGUGCAGAAUCACCUGCCGUGGUCCACACGCGUCCCCUCCUCUCCUCUGACAGUGUCUGUUGCCAUGCCGCUAAACCACCUCAGUAGUAUUGUAUUUUUUGCAAUAUGAUAGCAACUUUCACUCGGAGAACACCUCAGUGUCUGAAUCUGACUUACAUGUGUGUGUGUGUGUGUGUGUCUGUGUGUGUGUCUGUUUAGACUCUACCUAGCUGUUACAGUUGUAGCUCUCUGUGUUACAUACGGAUGAGGUCAGUGUUGUUUCGACAUGGAUGUAACGGUAAUGUUAUUUUUAGUUUACAGACAGAGGAUGGCGCGAGUAGGAGAGCAGCAGAGCUUGCAUUCACAGUGUCUAUGGUAGUCUUUCACCUCUCUCCUCUUUGUAUGGAAUGUGAUGGUCCUUACCUGUGAUUGACAGCUUCACACCUCAGUAACAGGUGUCUAUAUAUAUCUCACUUUUUAUAUCCAGGUAAAUUUUUUUUUUUUUUUGAAUAAUAUUUGUACAGUGUCUUUGUGACAAUGACUUUGUAACAAAAACAAAUGAGGAGGAAAACAAACAAAAAAUGAAUGCGAAUGAUUGAUUGAUUCAUGGAAGGAUGUCAUUGAGUCAAACAGUGGGUGUAAUUUGGAGUGGUUCCCCUGGUGUGUACAGUCUGUUCACUUACGUUGCCAUGGUUUCAGAGCAGAAGUUAAGUGAUGAAUGUGUCUUCAUUGCAAUACUGUUACUUACAACACAGCUCAGACACUCACACACCCACGCACACAAACAUACAUACACACAUGCACGCACACACACACACACACACACACACCCAGCAGCCUGUGCAAACUUCUAUGAUGUAAAUAAAGAGAUGAUGAUGAUGAU